UGUUGGUCGCUUGUGUAGAGCCUAAACAAGGAACUUUGUAAUCUACAUUUCUAACCAAACCCUAAAGGUGAAAACACUAAGUAAACCUGUCAUCGACUUGUAUAAUAUUUACCACUUUUGUAUAUAUAUAUAAAUCUAGUUGUGCGUACAUCUGUCUGUCUGGUAUGAAGAGUUGUUUGUGAGGAUCUGACUCAACCAAUUUCGAUGUUAUUUAGUAGAAGAAAUCAGGUGGACCCCUAACCCCCUUCUCCUCCUUAAGAUCGUACUUUUAAUCCGUAUAACGCAUCAUUAAAUUGAUUAGUUACUACAGUGUUGAAAAUGAUUUUUUAUGUACAACACUCUUUUCGAAACUUAACCUAGUGAACAAAAGUAUAUUAUCAUUUGAACUCUUUGUGACGUGCAGGACUUAAGAUCGUACUUUUAAUCCGUAUAACGCAUCAUUAAAUUGAUUAGUUACUACAGUGUUGAAAAUGAUUUUUUAUGUACAACACUCUUUUCGAAACUUAACCUAGUGAACAAAAGUAUAUUAUCAUUUGAACUCUUUGUGACGCGCAGGACUUAAGAUCGAGUCUAAAAUGGAGAAACAAGGCAUUUCAAUUUCACCAAUUUAAUGCCAAGAAUGAGGAUUGAACUGUGCGAGGAUGUCGGUAGUGAAAUACAUGAAGCCAACGACAAACGAACGUGACAUUUAAUGCCGUGCAUAGCCCGGGUACUUUUGCAUCAGACGAACGGGAAAAAUCAACGCCUGUCAGUAGACUUAUACAAGGGCGUCAUUUGGGGACCAAGCUCGGGCAGGAGCAUCAAGUGGAAUUUUGGCAGGAUGGAUUAUCACAUUUACACGCAUUACACCAUAGCAUACGGUCACCAGCUGAACUGUGGGCCCAUGCGAGGUCACCCCUCUAAGCUUUUUUGUGAAAUGACUGGACUCUUUGCCUUUCUUUGGGCCUACACAAAGUAAGGUGUCUAGCGGUGAUAAAAGACAUCUACGUGAAUUUCUUGUCUCGACUUAAAUAACAUGUAUUCAAUAAGUUAGUAUAAGAAAGAAAAGUGCUUGGUAAGUUUGAGUUGAAAGGAAUUUAAACAACAUCAAGUGCAUAGUAAAUUUGAAGCUCAAGUUAUUGCAA
Long non-coding RNA from Limulus polyphemus (Atlantic horseshoe crab), 1124 nucleotides. RefSeq lists it as uncharacterized. NCBI's taxonomy places the organism in Eukaryota, Metazoa, Arthropoda, Merostomata, Xiphosura, Limulidae. The record is from RefSeq and is a predicted model, not a curated record. The transcript is spliced from 2 exons.